Long non-coding RNA from Erigeron canadensis, 572 nucleotides. RefSeq lists it as uncharacterized. The record is from RefSeq and is a predicted model, not a curated record. Lineage: Eukaryota; Viridiplantae; Streptophyta; Magnoliopsida; Asterales; Asteraceae. The transcript is spliced from 2 exons.
CCUUUCACUAUUCUCUUUAAUUAUAUAACCCCAUACAACCAUCCUAAACCUUUUGACCAAUUGACAUUCUUCAUUCACUCUAACAUCAAGAAACCAAAAGGGAAAAAAAAAGGGUGAUGGCAGUGGUUGAGUUCUUUAUGUUGGGAUGCACAGGAAUUGUGAUGUUUUUUCAUGGGGCUAAUUACGUUUUCCAUGCUCUUCUUGCUCAUCAAAUCUCCAUUCGAUCUCUUAGUUUUUUGGGAUGUGUUUGGUGACAUACAAAUGAGCGGAUGAGUUAUCGGAUAUGAGGAUUUUUAUUUUAUUUUAUUUUAAUUGGAAUGUAAACUGUAAAUAUUUUUGUAUAAGUUGUAGACAAUAAAUGAUGGAGUUCGGUAUGAGUAUGAUUGAUGGUUGUUAGUAUGUUACAAAAGGACGAAAGUCUUGCUCCUAAUUAUCAUGGCAAUGACAAUGAUUGAGUAGGCAGAUGAUCAAAUAGCGAUUUCUGUUUAUUGACUUAUUUUCAUUUCAUGUAUUGUCGCAUUGGAAGAAUUUUUGUGACAAAAAGUUUAAUCUCUACUCCUUAAUAAAGCAAA